AGGCCGAUGGCGACCGGCGCACGGGUGAGUAACACGUAUCCAACCUGCCGUCUACUCUUGGACAGCCUUCUGAAAGGAAGAUUAAUACAAGAUGGCAUCAUGAGUUCACAUGUUCACAUGAUUAAAGGUAUUCCGGUAGACGAUGGGGAUGCGUUCCAUUAGAUAGUAGGCGGGGUAACGGCCCACCUAGUCUUCGAUGGAUAGGGGUUCUGAGAGGAAGGUCCCCCACAUUGGAACUGAGACACGGUUCAAACUCCUACGGGAGGCAGCAGUGAGGAAUAUUGGUCAAUGGGCGCAGGCCUGAACCAGCCAAGUAGCGUGAAGGAUGACUGCCCUAUGGGUUGUAAACUUCUUUUAUAAAGGAAUAAAGUCGGGUAUGUAUACCCGUUUGCAUGUACUUUAUGAAUAAGGAUCGGCUAACUCCGUGCCAGCAGCCGCGGUAAUACGGAGGAUCCGAGCGUUAUCCGGAUUUAUUGGGUUUAAAGGGAGCGUAGAUGGAUGUUUAAGUCAGUUGUGAAAGUUUGCGGCUCAACCGUAAAAUUGCAGUUGAUACUGGAUAUCUUGAGUGCAGUUGAGGCAGGCGGAAUUCGUGGUGUAGCGGUGAAAUGCUUAGAUAUCACGAAGAACUCCGAUUGCGAAGGCAGCCUGCUAAGCUGCAACUGACA
Molecule: ribosomal RNA, 665 nt
Filed under: uncultured Bacteroidales bacterium
Lineage: Bacteria; Pseudomonadati; Bacteroidota; Bacteroidia; Bacteroidales
Description: bacterial SSU rRNA
Rfam family: Bacterial small subunit ribosomal RNA
Source: RNAcentral